UAAGAACCAGCACAUGGUUUGCUGUGUGCCUUUUGCCACUUCUGCAAGGUGGACAAUGGUCCAGAAAGAGGCUGCUUCGGCAGUCGGGAUUCCAAAGGAGAUGAACAAGCUGGGACAUAGUCAACCUGUGAGGGACACGAAGCUGGAGCAAGAAAGAAGUUUUUGUGGCAGAUAUAAACCUGGGGUAUCUUCACCACCACAUGAACGGGACUACCAGAGAAUGAAGUCAACAUGGAGCACUUCAACAGCUACCCCUUGCUGUCUUCUUCUAUUGCAAGGUUGUGAAUGUGGGGCUUCCAGGGGCCGUGUUCACAGCCCCAUGGGAAAGGCCUGCAGAAAGAACAAAGUCAAACAGAGACAAGUAGAGGAAAGAUUUCCUCCCAGAUAAAAACAGGCACACCAAGAGAUGCUCACUCAUACUUUGUGCUUUUGGACACUGUGAUGUAAAUACACAGUGCAUCGAGUGCUGGCAGCCAUCUUGUGACCAUGAGGCAAAACCCCAGAAAAUCUCAGUGAGCAGACAUACAGCCCUGAUGUCAACAAGCUGCUGAAUUCACCAACUCUGCAAAUACCAACCUCCAAAUCUUUUGAUGUGUGAGAUAAUAAACCCCUAUUGUCUAAGCUACUCUUGCAGCUGAAAUCCUCCUUAAAUGUUAUUCAAGGACUUUACAUAUUGUGUAAUUGUUCUUGCUAGCAAUGCACUAUUUUUAGGCUUAACAGGCAAC
RNAcentral lists this long non-coding RNA (725 nucleotides) under Equus caballus (horse). Its description in RNAcentral is "lncRNA (ENSECAG00000056799.1)". Lineage: Eukaryota; Metazoa; Chordata; Mammalia; Perissodactyla; Equidae. The record is from RNAcentral.